AGGAUGAACGCUGGCGGCGUGCCUAACACAUGCAAGUCGAACGUCCUGUCUCGCAAGAGGCAGGGAGUGGCGGACGGGUGAGUACCACGUGGGUCAUCUACCGUGAGGUGAGGAAUACCGGCGAGAAAUCGCCGACAAGACCGCAUAGGCUCGAUGCAAGUCGAGCAAAGCUCUUUCGAGAGAGGGAGCGCCACACGAGGAGCCUGCGCCCGAUUAGCUAGCUGGUGGAGUAACGGUUCACCAGGGCGACGAUCGGUAGCUGGUCUGAGAGGACGAUCAGCCACACUGGGAUUGAGAACGGCCCAGACUCCUACGGGGGGCAGCAGUGAGGAAUUUUCGUCAAUGGGGGCAACCCUGAACGAGCAACGCCGCGUGCAGGAAGAAGGUUUCGGAUCGUAAACUGCUUUUCUCGGGAAGAGAACGGACGGUACCCGAGGAAUCGAGCCCCGGCUAACUACGCGCCAGCAGCCGCGGU
Molecule: ribosomal RNA, 475 nt
Filed under: uncultured bacterium
Lineage: Bacteria
Description: SSU rRNA
Rfam family: Bacterial small subunit ribosomal RNA
Source: RNAcentral